CUGACUUUUCGUUCUGAACUAGUCACUUUCCAGGCCUGGCUCUCCUCUGAACCCAAUCAGCCCCCGCCCAGUUGGUGUCCACGGCCAAAGCAAUGGAUCUAAGUCUGUUUGAUGACAUAUUUGGCCGCUUGGGACUGUGGUGGAUUCAGAUCACAGCAUGGACGGACACUCCAAUCAGUGGUGCAGUUUGCUAAGGAGCAACUUCUCCUCUCUCCUCCCGCCCCUCCCCCACAAUCAAAUUGACUGAACUCAGGCUGAUUAAGAAGCUAUGGAGACACCUGACCUCAGCCUCGAGUCUUUAGAACUUCCCUCUGCAUUCCGGUCUCAUUUAGCGGCUCUCAGAAAGCUUGACUGUGAAGGGAAACCGAAUUCCGGGAUGUCAAUGGGAAAGAAGAGAAAGCGUCCCCCCGUUUGCUGUUUCAGACGUAAUGGAGUUGGAGAAGAUGGCUUCUGAAAUUCUUUCCAGCUCUAAGAUCUGUGAAGCUGUGACAAAGUCUAAAGGAGACGGCAGACAGGAGGAAGCCCGUGAACACUGGACCAAUCAGGCCUGAAUGCAUGAAUCAAUCUUGGUGUUCCUAGGAGAGGGAGGACCACCAAAAUACAGCUCAGGGCAAGGAACAAUGAAGUCAUUAAAUGAUUCACAUCCUCCACCAUCCUGGAUUGGGGAUGGGUGGGACUGGGUUGUGGUUGUGGUGUGGUUUGUCCUUUGGUCUCCAAGAGGACCAUAACAUCAGGAACAUGAUGAGAUAAAUUUCAGUGGAUUUAAGGGAGGGAGGACUGUGCAAAGUCACCAACCUCACUUUCUCCUCCAGAGCCAUCUGGGUCCAAUGGCAAGAUAUAGAUCAGGAUGACUGGAGAUGGCCCAGGACUGGGAGAGAAAUGCUGAGAAGAGAGCUCUGAUUUCAUUUUGCAUUUUGAAAAAUACUCAAAGAAACCGAAAGAAUUAUGGUGAAUGAGCAUAUUCUCUCUUUUCCAUUAGCAUUUGAGAAAAGCACCUGUUUAGAAGAAAGUUGUUCUGUAAAUAAAUGCUCGUUUGGAGACUGA
Long non-coding RNA from Phascolarctos cinereus (koala), 1044 nucleotides. RefSeq lists it as uncharacterized. Lineage: Eukaryota; Metazoa; Chordata; Mammalia; Diprotodontia; Phascolarctidae. The record is from RefSeq and is a predicted model, not a curated record.